RNAcentral lists this long non-coding RNA (458 nucleotides) under Mytilus galloprovincialis (Mediterranean mussel). The record is from RNAcentral. Lineage: Eukaryota; Metazoa; Mollusca; Bivalvia; Mytilida; Mytilidae.
ACAAAAUGAUAAUACCGCACUUAUGUUUAAUUAGUGACGUUGUGAUUGGUUGAACGCCGUCAUGAUGUGACCCCUAUGGAUCCGCGGGGAUAGGCAAAAUUCAUGUGUGUAUCAUGACUUCACGAUUAAUUAUUAAUAGUGACGUAAUCUAUAAAUAUUAUUGUAUUUCAUUGAUUAUUUUAUUUACAAAAUUUGGCAAGAAAAUUCCCCUGUGGUAUAUACGGUUCACUACAGACCGUUCUAUACUCACCCCUUAUAAGUUUUACUAACCCUCUUUGCGUCCGUAGGGGGUAAUCAACACACCUGUAACUUAUGAUAUAAUGCCUCGUUCAAUACUUUAAUUUAUUUUAAACAGACACAUAAUUUUUCUGUUUGUUAUCCAUUGUUGGUCAUUAUUUACUGUCUACAAUAAUUGGGGUUGUUUUUUUUGUUUAUUUCGCGUUUAGCACAUAUUAAGC